Molecule: non-coding RNA, 122 nt
Organism: Serratia marcescens FGI94
Lineage: Bacteria; Pseudomonadati; Pseudomonadota; Gammaproteobacteria; Enterobacterales; Yersiniaceae
Source: Rfam
AGUGAAGUGGAAUCGGACAGGAUGAGAACCGUAAAGUUCGAGUCUCACGACAGUGAGACAACAUCACGCAGUGAUGGCCCGAAGGGCGAGGCGCAAGCCGAGUAAUCCUGCACGACCCACCA